UGGCCACAUGAUGUUUGUAUCACCACCCAUCUGAAGCAGUCUGAAUGUCAGUCUGCAUGUGCAGAAAUGUGAUAUUCUGAUGGCUA
Non-coding RNA from Oryza nivara, 86 nucleotides. The record is from Rfam. NCBI's taxonomy places the organism in Eukaryota, Viridiplantae, Streptophyta, Magnoliopsida, Poales, Poaceae.